This 183-nucleotide unclassified non-coding RNA is filed under the name uncultured Clavulina. Its description in RNAcentral is "sequence contains ITS1". Lineage: Eukaryota; Fungi; Basidiomycota; Agaricomycetes; Cantharellales; Hydnaceae. The record is from RNAcentral.
AUGAAUUGUAAUCGGAGCUGAUGCUGGCGGCUUGGCUGCAUGUGCUCGCUCUUAACAAUCUUUAUCCAAACACCUGUGCACAUUUAGAGAGGGUCUCCGAGUUCUCCUUGGAGUCCCUUCCUCUCAUUAUACACUAGUUUUUAAUAUUGAACGUGAUUGUGCCGUGAGGCCUUAAUAUCAAUA